Salvia miltiorrhiza (redroot sage) is the source of this 821-nucleotide long non-coding RNA. RefSeq lists it as uncharacterized. The transcript is spliced from 3 exons. Lineage: Eukaryota; Viridiplantae; Streptophyta; Magnoliopsida; Lamiales; Lamiaceae. The record is from RefSeq and is a predicted model, not a curated record.
AGUGUAAAUUGAUUUUAUUUAUUUAAUUUGUUUUUGGUGAGUGAUUAACGUAUUGUAUUCUCAUUAAAUCACCAAAUCUGCUCAGCCAUGUUUCACUCUGCAAUUCACCACAUUGUGAACCAAUCACUUUACAUGCAUCUCCAAUCCACCACAUUUUGAACCAAUCACCUUACAUGCAUUUUUCUCUCAUGGAAUAAAUCUGCCAAAACUCAAGAUUUGAUCAUUCACAGCAAAUACUAUUAUCAUCACCUUCUCUUCCCUCUCCAAAAAUCCAUUCAAAUCACAAGUAUCCCUUCAAGAAAGUUCUGUUCCAGAAAUCAAAAAUCUGAUACUCCAUACAUCACAAAGACAAAGAACACAGUCUGUCCACUUGUUAGAAGGUUUUAGCACUGGUUUUACAAGAAGAGAAUUGUGCAAAUUUUAUCUACAGGCUUGUCCUAUCAAGGUUGAGCGGCAGGUGGUGUCGUGCGAGGCUGAGGGAGGAUGUUGCUGUAGUUUCGUAUAAUAUUUUCCGCUGCCAUAAUAUUCACUUAGGUGGAUAUCUUUUGAGAAUGACUCUUUAAAUAUUCUUAGCCUAAUUUUAUGAACUCUUUUGGCAAUCGCAUUACUAGCAAUUGAACCUCGCUUAUAUGUACGUCUAGUAUGAAGUGAUAUCUUGUUGUCUCAGACCUCCGAACUUUUGAUCCUGGUUGGGAAAAUUUCUAUCCUAAUUGUUGUACUUAUUAUCCUUCAAUUGUGGCACUCCUUUAUUAACAAUGUAUUACCCGAGUCUAAGAACAUAUCAACCAUUUUAUUCUAACAAAGUCUAGCAAUCCCAUUAA